CGCUUGAUUUUUUUAUCCUAUCUGGAAAUAUCUGAAAUGCAACUUUUAGAAAAACUACUAAAAAAAACUAACUAAUUUACGUAUACAUAUUAGUAGACUUAAAAUAAGGUUUGUAGAAAUAUUUAAACAUAGCUGUAUAAUUUCACUGGUAUACAAUAUCAUGGGAUAAAAGAGUAAAUAUAAAAAUGCUGCAAAGUAAGUAAAUCUACUUUAUUUGUCAUAAAAAUUGUCAAAAAAGUCAAAUAUUGUUGUUACAAUACAAAUAACCAAAAUUCCUGUAAGUUCUUUCUAAUUCGUAAUCUCUUCCUAAGUUAAUAAAAAUUAAUUAUGGCUCAUGAACCUUACGAUGAUCCUUCGUUAAAAGGAUUUUCUAGAAUCUUUAACAACUGUACCAUUCGAGGAAGAGCUAAUGUUGCACUUGCUACAUUGUCAGCUAUGGCAUUAUUUAUGGUUUACCGAAAAUUAACUAAAGGCUCUAGAAAAAAGAAAUGUAAGUGUGAAUAACUAUGACUUUUUGAAUUGAAAUAAAAGAAUUCUGAAAAUAUACAAAAUCACUACAACCAUAUGAUGUUCCUUCUGUGAUAUUAACCCCAAAUCCUAAUGUCAAUCGUCAACGAUUGUUUAAAGUUAUAGACAUUUACCUUACGUAAUUAUUUUAAUAAAAAAAAUUGAUUUUGUAAUACUGUAAAAUUAUAAUUUUUCUGUUUCGGCGAUAAAUUAAAGUUUCUUCUUAAAAA
Long non-coding RNA from Agrilus planipennis (emerald ash borer), 737 nucleotides. RefSeq lists it as uncharacterized. The record is from RefSeq and is a predicted model, not a curated record. The transcript has 4 exons. Lineage: Eukaryota; Metazoa; Arthropoda; Insecta; Coleoptera; Buprestidae.